GAUGAACGCUGGCGGCGUGCCUAAUACAUGCAAGUCGAGCGAACAGACGAGGUGCUUGCUCCUCUGUCGUUAGCGGCGGACGGGUGAGUAACACGUGUAUAACCUACCUAUAAGACUGGGAUAACUUCGGGAAACCGGAGCUAAUACCGGAUAAUAUAUUGAACCGCAUGGUUCAAUAGUGAAAGACGGUGUUGCUGUCACUUAUAGAUGGAUCCGCGCCGCAUUAGCUAGUUGGUAAGGUAACGGCUUACCAAGGCAACGAUGCGUAGCCGACCUGAGAGGGUGAUCGGCCACACUGGAACUGAGACACGGUCCAGACUCCUACGGGAGGCAGCAGUAGGGAAUCUUCCGCAAUGGGCGAAAGCCUGACGGAGCAACGCCGCGUGAGUGAUGAAGGUCUUCGGAUCGUAAAACUCUGUUAUUAGGGAAGAACAAAUGUGUAAGUAACUAUGCACGUCUUGACGGUACCUAAUCAGAAAGCCACGGCUAACUACGUG
RNAcentral lists this ribosomal RNA (497 nucleotides) under uncultured bacterium. RNAcentral describes it as "partial 16S ribosomal RNA". It matches the Rfam family "Bacterial small subunit ribosomal RNA", at positions 28 to 507 of the family's 1533-position model. The record is from RNAcentral.